GGAUGGACACACUCACUCUGCUGUGGGCUGCUCUCUGUCUGAUCUGUGUGAAGUGUGAGACACUGACACAGCCAACCUCUGUGACUGUGCAGCCAGGACACACUCUCACCAUCCCCUGUACUGUCUCAUACUCUGUUAGCAGCUACUACACAGCAUGGAUCAGACAGCCUGCUGGGAAAGGCCUGGAGUGGAUUGGAAUGAAAUACACAGGAGGCACUCACCAUAAAGAUUCACUGAAGAGCAAAUUCAGUUUAAAUGUAGAUUCCUCCAGUAACACAGUGACUCUGAAUGGACAGAACAUGCAGCCUGGAGACACUGCAGUGUACUACUGUGCUCGGUAUCACACAGUCACACAAAGUAUAUGUAGAGCUGUACAAAAACAGUAAAGAGUGCAAUUCACA
Molecule: non-coding RNA, 401 nt
Organism: Boleophthalmus pectinirostris (great blue-spotted mudskipper)
Lineage: Eukaryota; Metazoa; Chordata; Actinopteri; Gobiiformes; Gobiidae
Source: the annotation of a RefSeq genome assembly